GGAAGAUUGGGACCAGUAGACUUUGGAGAAGGUUGUUGAAAAGAAAAACAAAGUAUAAGCUGAACUAACCAACUGAGAUUGUGACUUGGUCUGCCUCUGACAAUAAUGGAAGGUUUAUAUAUCCGAAGGCUGCUGGCUGAUGCGUGCUUUUGGCAUGUACAAAUAACAGAGACAUAAAAAGCAACAGAAAGUAAAGGCCCAAUAUUUUUUCUUUUUCAUCACACGUCAUCUCCAGCAUGUGUAAAAAAACAGCAGAAGAUUGAAGAACAUUAUUACCAGAUGGGACUCUGUUUUUUCAACAAUGGUACAGCGAUAAACAUGGAAAUAUGCGCGUUAGAAGCUAAACAAAGGUGAAAAAAAAGGGCAAUGCUUUUGUGAUGUUGAUUCUCACAUGCGUCUAUUUGGCCGCCUUGACAAUUGAAUUCCAACUCAUAAUAUUGGUAACUUUGCGUUGGAAUAAUCUGCCAAGUGCAGUGGACUUACCAUUCAUGCACAUAAUUGACAGAGUUGACAGCAUGUUCGAUAGGAUUAUCAGCCUGCCCUUCUUGCAGCCAAACCAUAUCGGUCGAAAAUUAAGCCUAAAGCUUUGUCCUUUCUGUUUCUUUUAAGUUUAAGCUCUCUUGCGUUUUGUUUUCUGAAUAAGAC
Momordica charantia (bitter melon) is the source of this 645-nucleotide non-coding RNA. The record is from RefSeq and is a predicted model, not a curated record. Lineage: Eukaryota; Viridiplantae; Streptophyta; Magnoliopsida; Cucurbitales; Cucurbitaceae.